UAUGUCGUCAGGAUGAACGCUAGCGACAGGCUUAACACAUGCAAGUCGAGGGGCAGCAUAAAAGUAGCAAUACUUGGUGGCGACCGGCGCACGGGUGAGUAACGCGUAUGCAACCUACCUAUCAGAGGGGAAUAACCCGGCGAAAGUCGGACUAAUACCGCAUAAAACAGGGACACCGCAUGGUGAUAUUUGUUAAAGAAAUUCGCUGAUAGAUGGGCAUGCGUUCCAUUAGGUAGUUGGUGAGGUAACGGCUCACCAAGCCGACGAUGGAUAGGGGAACUGAGAGGUUGGUCCCCCACACUGGUACUGAGACACGGACCAGACUCCUACGGGAGGCAGCAGUGAGGAAUAUUGGUCAAUGGGCGAGAGCCUGAACCAGCCAAGUCGCGUGAAGGAAGAAGGAUCUAUGGUUCGUAAACUUCUUUUGCAGGGGAAUAAAGUGCAGGACGUGUCCUGUUUUGUAUGUACCCUGAGAAUAAGGAUCGGCUAACUCCGUGCCAGCCGCCGC
This 508-nucleotide ribosomal RNA is filed under the name uncultured bacterium. Its description in RNAcentral is "bacterial SSU rRNA". It matches the Rfam family "Bacterial small subunit ribosomal RNA", at positions 26 to 518 of the family's 1533-position model. The record is from RNAcentral.